GGGCUACGUGUUGAUCGGGCUCGGACGAUCCUCCCACCCUUUGUGUACCUACCUCUGUUGCUUUGGCGGGCCGCGGUCCUCCGCGGCCGCCCCCCUCCCCGGGGGGGUGGCCAGCGCCCGCCAGAGGACCAUCAAACUCCAGUCAGUAAACGAUGCAGUCUGAAAAACAUUUAAUAAACUAAAACUUUCAACAACGGAUCUCUUGGUUCUGGCAUCGAUGAAGAACGCAGCGAAAUGCGAUAAGUAAUGUGAAUUGCAGAAUUCAGUGAAUCAUCGAAUCUUUGAACGCACAUUGCGCCCUUUGGUAUUCCGAAGGGCAUGCCUGUUCGAGCGUCAUUACAACCCUCAAGCUCUGCUUGGUAUUGGGCACCGUCCUUUGCGGGCGCGCCUCAAAGACCUCGGCGGUGGCGUCUUGCCUCAAGCGUAGUAGAACAUACAUCUCGCUUCGGAGCGCAGGGCGUCGCCCGCCGGACGAACCUUCUGAACUUUUCUCAAGGUUGACCUCGGAUCAGGUAGGGAUACCCGCUGAACUUAAGCAUAUCAAUAAGGCGGAGGAA
This 557-nucleotide ribosomal RNA is filed under the name Botryosphaeria dothidea. Its description in RNAcentral is "eukaryotic LSU rRNA". The stretch from base 183 to 336 matches the Rfam family "5.8S ribosomal RNA". Lineage: Eukaryota; Fungi; Ascomycota; Dothideomycetes; Botryosphaeriales; Botryosphaeriaceae. The record is from RNAcentral.